Molecule: ribosomal RNA, 639 nt
Filed under: uncultured bacterium
Lineage: Bacteria
Description: bacterial SSU rRNA
Rfam family: Bacterial small subunit ribosomal RNA
Source: RNAcentral
GAUGGGCUCGCGCCUGAUUAGAUAGUUGGUGGGGUAAUGGCUCACCAAGUCUGCGAUCAGUAGCCGGACUGAGAGGUCGAUCGGCCACAUUGGGACUGAGACACGGCCCAGACUCCUACGGGAGGCAGCAGUGGGGGAAUAUUGCACAAUGGGCGAAAGCCUGAUGCAGCGACCCCGCGUGAGGGAAGAAGGUUUUCGGAUUGUAAACCUCUGUCUUCGAGGACGAAGAAGUGACGGUACUCGAGGAGGAAGCCACGGCUAACUACGUGCCAGCAGCCGCGGUAAAACGUAGGUGGCAAGCGUUGUCCGGAAUUACUGGGUGUAAAGGGAGCGCAGGCGGGAUGCCAAGUUGGACGUGAAAUCUAUGGGCUCAACCCAUAGCGUGCGUUCAAAACUGGCGUUCUUGAGUGAUGGAGAGGCAGGCGGAAUUCCCGGUGUAGCGGUGGAAUGCGUAGAUAUCGGGAGGAACACCAGUGGCGAAGGCGGCCUGCUGGACAUUAACUGACGCUGAGGCUCGAAAGUGUGGGGAGCAAACAGGAUUAGAUACCCUGGUAGUCCACACCGUAAACGAUGAUUACUAGGUGUGGGGGGAUAGACCCCCUCCUUCCGCAGCUAACGCAAUAAGUAAUCCACCUGGGG